RNAcentral lists this unclassified non-coding RNA (212 nucleotides) under soil metagenome. RNAcentral describes it as "partial contains 5.8S ribosomal RNA, internal transcribed spacer 2, and large subunit ribosomal RNA". The record is from RNAcentral.
AACGAGGCCGACCUGCGGCUGAGUUACCUGCGGAAGGAUCAUUACCGAGUUUACAACUCCCAAACCCCUGUGAACAUACCUAUACGUUGCCUCGGCGGAUCAGCCCGCGCCCCGUAAAACGGGACGGCCCGCCCGAGGACCCCUAAACUCUGUUUUUAGUGGAACUUCUGAGUAAAACAAACAAAUAAAUCAAAACUUUCAACAACGGAUCU